CCUACGGGAGGCAGCAGUGAGGAAUAUUGGUCAAUGGACGAGAGUCUGAACCAACCAAGUAGCGUGAAGGAUGACUGCCCUAUGGGUUGUAAACCUCUUUUAUAUGGGAAUAAAAUGUUCCACGUGUGGGAUUUUGUAUGUACCAUAUGAAUAAGGAUCGGCUAACUCCGUGCCAGCAGCCGCGGUAAUACGGAGGAUCCGAGCGUUAUCCGGAUUUAUUGGGUUUAAAGGGAGCGUAGGUGGAUUGUUAAGUCAGUUGUGAAAGUUUGCGGCUCAACCGUAAAAUUGCAGUUGAAACUGGCAGUCUUGAGUACAGUAGAGGUGGGCGGAAUUCGUGGUGUAGCGGUGAAAUGCUUAGAUAUCACGAAGAACUCCGAUUGCGAAGGCAGUUCACUGGACUGCAACUGACACUGAGGCUCGAAAGUGUGGGUAUCAAACAGGAUUAGAUACCCGAGUAGUC
RNAcentral lists this ribosomal RNA (460 nucleotides) under uncultured bacterium. RNAcentral's name for it is "partial 16S ribosomal RNA". It matches the Rfam family "Bacterial small subunit ribosomal RNA", at positions 338 to 795 of the family's 1533-position model. The record is from RNAcentral.